This 1120-nucleotide unclassified non-coding RNA is filed under the name Hevea brasiliensis (rubber tree). Lineage: Eukaryota; Viridiplantae; Streptophyta; Magnoliopsida; Malpighiales; Euphorbiaceae. The record is from RNAcentral.
AAAUUUCAAUUUUUUCACUUUGAUUCUCUAUGGUGUACUUACACUAGUUACCCCAGAUUUUACAGGUGCUCAAACUGGAGUUUGUUAUGGAAGGCUAGGGAAUGGAUUACCAUCUCCAGCAGAUGUUGUGUCACUAUGCAAUCGAAACAACAUUCGAAGAAUGAGAAUAUACGAACCUGACCAGCUGACCCUUCAGGCGCUCCGAGGAUCCAACAUUGAGGUCAUGCUAGGUGUCCCGAACACGGAUCUUGAAAACGUUGGUGCUAGCCAAGACAAUGCAAAUACAUGGAUCCAAAACAAUGUUAAGAACUAUGAUAAUGUCAAGUUCAGGUAUAUAGCUGUUGGAAAUGAAGUUAGUCCCUUCAAUGAAAACUCAAAGUAUGUACCUGUUCUUUUCAAUGCUGUAAGGAACAUUCAAACCGCAAUAUCCGGAGCCGGUCUCGGAGAUCAGAUCAAAGUUUCCACAGCUAUUGAAACUGGACUUACUACAGAUACUUCUCCUCCAUCGAAUGGAAGAUUCAAAGAUGAAGUUCUACGAUUCAUCGAACCUAUAAUCAACUUCCUUGUGACGAAUCGCGCUCCUUUGCUUGUCAACCUUUAUCCUUACUUUGCAGUAGUUGACAAUCCAGUCAUUAAGCUUGAGUAUGCACUUUUCACAUCACCUGAAGUUGUUGUAAAUGAUAACGGAAGAGGAUACAAGAACCUUUUUGAUGCCAUCUUAGAUGCCACAUACUCGGCCCUUGAAAAAGCUGGUGGCUCGUCUUUGCAGAUCGUUGUAUCGGAGAGUGGUUGGCCUUCAGCUGGAGCAGGGCAGUUAACUUCCAUUGACAAUGCCAGGACAUAUAACAACAAUCUGAUUCAACAUGUGAAGGGAGGGAGUCCUAAAAGGCCUUCCGGUCCAAUAGAGACCUACAUUUUCGAUCUGUUUGAUGAAGAUCAGAAGAACCCUGAAAUCGAGAAGCAUUUCGGACUAUAUUCAGCAAACAUGCAACCUAAGUACCAGAUCAGUUUUAACUAGUUAAAAAGCAAAAAGAGAGCAUUAAAAGGAAUAAAGGACUUACCUUUGUAUGUAUGUAAAUUCUGAAUAACAUUUCCAGCUUCAAGAGAAAGUAGCCUAUUG